Molecule: microRNA precursor, 104 nt
Filed under: Marmota monax (woodchuck)
Lineage: Eukaryota; Metazoa; Chordata; Mammalia; Rodentia; Sciuridae
Source: RNAcentral
AUGGGAAUCACCUGAGGAUUUUAUUAAAGUACAGACUAUGUUUCAGUAAAUCUGGAUAGAGCCUUAUAUUUUGCAUUUCUGGUGAGCUUCCAGGUGGUGCAGAU